UCAAUCAGCAUCCAGCUUACCUUUGCGAUCUGUACCAGGUCCUGCAUUAGUCUGGUAACCUCUGAGACGGUGUGUCUGAAGUGCUCUUGCCCAAAUAUCUAGAUAGUUAUGACCAGAAUGUUUUUUGGCUUCAAUUGUUAGAUAUUUUUAUUCCUGAACUCAGUGAUCAAGACCAUCUAGUUUAGGGUUUUUUUUAGUGAGUCUGUGCUCUUGGACUGUGAACUUCAGGAGUGCUUCUUAAUCUCUUCUCCCCACACUUCCUCCCACUCCCUUUUAGGUGGAAUAAGAUGGCUAAAGUGGGCUGGAGUUGCGUACUUCUCUUCCUUUACUUGGAAGGCUUGGGCCCACUGGAGUGAUUUUUCUUCUCUCAGGUUAGUUGGUCCCUGAUAAAACCCCAGCAGGUUAGGCUCUCGUAAAAGUGUUAUUUCUGAAGGCAGUCCUUGUUGUUAAGAA
RNAcentral lists this long non-coding RNA (453 nucleotides) under Homo sapiens (human). RNAcentral describes it as "non-protein coding lnc-STXBP5-4:1". Lineage: Eukaryota; Metazoa; Chordata; Mammalia; Primates; Hominidae. The record is from RNAcentral.